Molecule: ribosomal RNA, 478 nt
Filed under: uncultured Bacteroidota bacterium
Lineage: Bacteria; Pseudomonadati; Bacteroidota
Description: bacterial SSU rRNA
Rfam family: Bacterial small subunit ribosomal RNA
Source: RNAcentral
GACGAACGCUAGCGGCAGGCCUAAUACAUGCAAGUCGAACGGUAAGGUCUCUUCGGAGAUACACGAGUGGCGCACGGGUGCGUAACGCGUAUACAACCUACCCUUUAGAGGAGAAUAACUUCUGGAAACGGGAGCUAAUACUCCAUAUACACUUAGUAUCGCAUGGUACAGAGUGGAAAUGCUCCGGCGCUAAGGGAUGGGUAUGCGUAACAUUAGCUAGUUGGUGAGGUAACGGCUCACCAAGGCAACGAUGUUUAGCUGGUCUGAGAGGAUGAUCAGCCACACGGGCACUGAGACACGGGCCCGACUCCUACGGGAGGCAGCAGUAAGGAAUAUUGGUCAAUGGGGGCAACCCUGAACCAGCCAUGCCGCGUGCAGGAAGACGGCCCUCUGGGUUGUAAACUGCUUUUAUUUGGGGCUAACUAUGUUCUAUACGGACAUUUGCAGGUACCAUUUGAAUAAGCACCGGCUAACUACG